ACGGGUGAGUAAUGCCUAGGAAUCUGCCUGGUAGUGGGGGACAACGUUUCGAAAGGAACGCUAAUACCGCAUACGUCCUACGGGAGAAAGCAGGGGACCUUCGGGCCUUGCGCUAUCAGAUGAGCCUAGGUCGGAUUAGCUAGUUGGUGAGGUAAUGGCUCACCAAGGCGACGAUCCGUAACUGGUCUGAGAGGAUGAUCAGUCACACUGGAACUGAGACACGGUCCAGACUCCUACGGGAGGCAGCAGUGGGGAAUAUUGGACAAUGGGCGAAAGCCUGAUCCAGCCAUGCCGCGUGUGUGAAGAAGGUCUUCGGAUUGUAAAGCACUUUAAGUUGGGAGGAAGGGUUGUAGAUUAAUACUCUGCAAUUUUGACGUUACCGACAGAAUAAGCACCGGCUAACUCUGUGCCAGCAGCCGCGGUAAUACAGAGGGUGCAAGCGUUAAUCGGAAUUACUGGGCGUAAAGCGCGCGUAGGUGGUUCGUUAAGUUGGAUGUGAAUCCCCGGGCUCAACCUGGGAACUGCAUCCAAAACUGGCGAGCUAGAGUAUGGUAGAGGGUGGUGGAAUUUCCUGUGUAGCGGUG
This 584-nucleotide ribosomal RNA is filed under the name Pseudomonas sp. StFRB493. RNAcentral describes it as "bacterial SSU rRNA". It matches the Rfam family "Bacterial small subunit ribosomal RNA", at positions 102 to 683 of the family's 1533-position model. Lineage: Bacteria; Pseudomonadati; Pseudomonadota; Gammaproteobacteria; Pseudomonadales; Pseudomonadaceae. The record is from RNAcentral.